UACGUAGGGGGCAAGCGUUAUCCGGAUUUACUGGGUGUAAAGGGAGCGUAGACGGCGCGGCAAGUCUGAAGUGAAAGCCCGUGGCUCAACCGCGGAACUGCUUUGGAAACUGUAUAGCUUGAGUACUGGAGAGGCAGGCGGAAUUCCUAGUGUAGCGGUGAAAUGCGUAGAUAUUAGGAGGAACACCAGUGGCGAAGGCGACCUGCUAGAACAUAACUGACGCUGAUGCGCGAAAGCGUGGGGAGCAAACAGG
RNAcentral lists this ribosomal RNA (253 nucleotides) under uncultured Lachnospiraceae bacterium. Its description in RNAcentral is "partial 16S ribosomal RNA". It matches the Rfam family "Bacterial small subunit ribosomal RNA", at positions 524 to 776 of the family's 1533-position model. Lineage: Bacteria; Bacillati; Bacillota; Clostridia; Lachnospirales; Lachnospiraceae. The record is from RNAcentral.